GCUGUGAGAACGGGUUAAUGUUUGUUUUGAUGUUUACUUUUAAUUUUGAGAAAAUGGACAAUACAUGGAUUGGAAUAUUCAACUUUAUUUGCAAAGUAUGUGGAAGGAAACUGGAGUACUCGGAAAAAAACUCACGCGAGCAGAAGGAGAAUAUGUAAACUCCUUAUAGAAACGCCAACUGGCCCAGCCAGGACUCGAACCAGCGACAUUCUUGUUGUGAGGCCACAUUGCUAACCACUGAGCCACCGUGCCACCUUGUUCUGGAUUAAUCUCAGAAAGAGGGGGAUGAGUAGGGAUGGAUGGGGGAUUCUUUGAGGUGAAAAUGACUAAGUUUCUGAUAGGGUGUACUUUACUGGACUGUGUACAUGAUGUGAGCAGACUACAAAACAGCAGUGCUGACACAGAGCCUGAGCAGAGAAGAUAUUCAUCCUGAGAGGAAGAUCUUUCCAACAGCACUCUGCCACUGAUGACCAUCUCCUCCUGGGCCUCAGACACAACGUAAAAAACUUUUUUUUAAUAAAUAUUUUAAUAAAAUAUUAUUCCUU
This is a long non-coding RNA of Danio rerio (zebrafish), 545 nucleotides long. The record is from Ensembl. NCBI's taxonomy places the organism in Eukaryota, Metazoa, Chordata, Actinopteri, Cypriniformes, Danionidae.